GUCACUCUGUCUCUCUGUCUGUUUUCCUCUCUGACUGUCUGCCUCUCUGUCUGUCCCUCUGUCUAUCUGUCCCUCUGAUUACUGUAGUAAAGUUACAGUAGUGAGUGUAGUAGUGAGGACUGUAGUGAGUAUAUUAGUAAGGCCUGUAGUGAGUAUAUUAGUGAGGUUGUAGUAGUGAGGACUGUAGUGAGUAUAUUAGUAAGGUUGUAGUGGUGAGGACUGUAGUGAGUAUAUUACUGAGGACUGUAGUGAGUAUAUUAGUGAGGUUGUAGUGGUGAGGACUGUAGUGAGUAUAUUAGUGAAGUUGUAGUGGUGAGGACUCUAGUGAGUAUAUUAGUGAGGUUGUAGUGGUGAGGACUGUAGUGAGUAUAUUAGUAAGGUUGUAGUAGUGAGGACUGUAGUGAGUAUAUUAUUGAGGUUGUAGUAGUGAGGACUGUAGUGAGUAUAUUAGUGAGGUUGUAGUGGUGAGGACUGUAGUGAGUAUAUUAGUGAGGUUGUAGUGGUGAGGACUGUAGUGAGUAUAUUAGUGAGGUUGUAGUGGUGAGGACUGUAGUGAGUAUAUUAUUGAGGUUGUAGUGGUGAGGACGGUGGUGAGUAUAUUAGUGAGGUUGUAGUGGUGAGGACUGUAGUGAGUAUAUUAGUGAGGUUGUAGUAGUGAGGACUAGUGAGUAUAUUAGUGAGGUUGUAAUAGUGAGGACUGUAGUGAGUAUAUUAGUAAGGUUGUAGUGGUGAGGACUGUAGUAAGUAUAUUAGUAAGGUUGUAGUGGUGAGGACUGUAGUGAGUAUAUUAGUAAGGUUGUAGUGGUGAGGACUGUAGUGAGUAUAUUAGUGAGGUUGUAGUAGUGAGGACUGUAGUGAGUUGAGGUGAUAGUAGUGAAGACUGUAGUGAGUAUAUUACUGAGGACUGUAGUGAGUAUAUUAGUGAGGUUGUAGUAGUGAGGACUGUAGUGAGUUGAGGUGAUAGUAGUGAAGACUGUAGUGAGUUGAGGUGAUAGUAGUGAAGACUGUAGUGAGUUGAGGUGAUAGUAGUGAAGACUGUAGUGAGUAUAUUAGUGAGGUGAUAGUAGUGAAGACUGUAGUGAGUUGAGGUGAUAGUAGUGAAGACUGUAGUGAGUUGAGGUGAUAGUAGUGAAGACUGUAGUGAGUAUAUUACUGAGGACUGUAGUGAGUAUAUUAGUGAGGUUGUAGUAGUGAGGACUGUAGUGAGUUGAGGUGAUAGUAGUGAAGACUGUAGUGAGUUGAGGUGAUAGUAGUGAAGACUGUAGUGAGUUGAGGUGAUAGUAGUGAAGACUGUAGUGAGUAUAUUAGUGAGGUGAUAGUAGUGAAGACUGUAGUGAGUUGAGGUGAUAGUAGUGAAGACUGUAGUGAGUUGAGGUGAUAGUAGUGAAGACUGUAGUGAGUAUAUUACUGAGGACUGUAGUGAGUAUAUUAGUGAGGUUGUAGUAGUGAGGACUGUAGUGAGUUGAGGUGAUAGUAGUGAAGACUGUAGUGAGUUGAGGUGAUAGUAGUGAAGACUGUAGUGAGUUGAGGUGAUAGUAGUGAAGACUGUAGUGAGUAUAUUAGUGAGGUGAUAGUAGUGAAGACUGUAGUGAGUUGAGGUGAUAGUAGUGAAGACUGUAGUGAGUUGAGGUGAUAGUAGUGAAGACUGUAGUGAGUUGAGGUGAUAGUAGUGAAGACUGUAGUGACAAAAGAGAUUUAUCAGUUUGAGUGCUAUAAAUAAUCAUCUUUAAAUACCCACACACUGAGGGGUGAGGCAGAGAGAGAGAGUGUGUGUGUGUGUAUGUGUGUAAUAUGAUACUUCAUAGUACUUUUUUGUGUUAAUCUUUGACACACACUGUGAGAAAUCUGACCCUGGGGUAAAGCUUUUGCUUUUGAUCCUUGACCUGGAAAAUCUGUUUUUAUCCACAGACACAUUGUAGAGAUUUAUUUAAAGUUAUGUGCCAUAGAGCAUUUUAAAGCAUAAUGGAGCAUUAUAGAGUAUCUUAAAGUGUUGUAAAUUGUUUUAAAGUGUAACAGAGCGUUAUAGAGCAUUAUUAAGAAGAAUAGAAAGUUAUGGAGAGUAACAUUAUGUAGAAUUAUAGAGCAUUACUGAGAGUUAUAGAUCAUUAUAGUGUGUUAUACAGCAUGUUUUAGAGAGUUGUAGAUCAUUAUUGAUGGUUAUGCAGCACUAUAGAACACUAUAGAUCAGAUUAUAGAGUGUUAUAUAGCAUUAUAGAUAGUUAUAGAUCAUUAUGGAGUGCUAUAGAGCAUGAGACCAGAGACACAAAAUGCAGUUCACUUUCAUUCUUUGCUUUUUAGUUUAAUUUAGUUGAUCUUUAUACAGCUUUAUUUUUUUACCUUUUUUUUUUUUUAGUGCAGCUUCACACAAACUUGGAUUUAGAUCAAGAUAAUAAACAGAUAUUACUGCAUCUGUCUGUCUUUCUGUCUCUC
Long non-coding RNA from Silurus meridionalis, 2430 nucleotides. RefSeq lists it as uncharacterized. Lineage: Eukaryota; Metazoa; Chordata; Actinopteri; Siluriformes; Siluridae. The record is from RefSeq and is a predicted model, not a curated record. The transcript has 3 exons.